GCCCAUGCCAACACUCAAGACUGGGUCACCUUAAGCUCCCACAUUCAUGUGAACUCUCUGAUGGUCUUUUCAGUAUCCUGCCUGCAGUGACCUUGCUGGAAUCCAGAAGGGGUGCUGCGCUGCAGGCCAGAGGCAGACCUGGGAGCCAGACUGCCAGUUUUGCUCUUGUCACCCAGGCUGGAGUACAAUGGCACGAUCUCGGCUCACUGCAACUUCCUUCUCCCAGGUUCAAGCAAUUCUCCUGCCUCAACCUCCCGAGUAGCUGGGAUUACAGGUGAAGUUUCACCAUGUUGGGCGGACUGGUCUCGAACUCCUGACCUCAGGCAAUCCACCCGCCUCCGCUUCCCAAAGUGCUGAGAUUAUAGGCGUCAACCACCGUGCCUGGCCCCUUCCUUUUUAAUUGUCACAGGGGCAGAACAUUCUAUCAUCUCUCCAGGAAAACCACCAUGUUUCUGAAGGCAUUAAGCUCCAAGCUGGCUAACAGUCAAGCCACAGGAAGGAGAAGGCAGAGCAUGAAACAUAAGCUGUGUGACUGGUACCUGAGUAAGAGCAAGCUAAUUAUAAAAUGGACCUAGUGUUAGGUUCCACUUUUAUGGGUCACUUGCUGCACUUCCAUAUUUGAGGGUCUAGGAAAGGUUGUGUUGUCACCCGAGUGGACUUUGCCUCUCAUGCCAGUAGCUAAGAAUUCCCUCUCCUUGCCCAUGUGGUUUCUCUGAUUACAUGAUUACUCAGGCUGACUGGGAUUUCUUUAUUCUAAAUCAGCCCUCUUUAUCAAAGGACCCAGUGAUGAUCUCUGGACAUUCAUUCUUUUAUGGUACUGAGGCUGAUAGCAGUGAGGUCACGUUCCAACCCAGCACAGUUUGAAAGGGACAAGAGGCCUACUGUACAUACUGUACCUCCUCUUAAAGCUGGGUGUCACCUUGUUUUAUCACCUCUCAAGCACUGAAACUUCAAAGCACACUGUAAAAGCUCAGAAACAGCUCUGUGAAUCACAGAAUAUACAUAUAAACACGUUUAAACUACCUUUGGGAUUAAAUAAAUGUAGCCUGCAUUUCCAGUUGAUACACAGUGACCCAGACCGAUAGAACUCAUGAAUUAAAAACAAAUGUUAAUCCAUUUCGGCUUCAUUUCUAUCCCCGAGAUUUCCUAAUGGUUUUGUUUCCCAAUCCAUUUGAACAAAACAAGAUAGGUCAGCUUUCAUUGUAGUCAGAAUAUUUUGCAGGAGCUGAUGAAAAAAUUAUCAUCAUGAGGCAGAUAAGAGCACACAGAUGAUGUCAAAACAAGGUCAAGCGAACUUGAAGUUAAGCAAACAGCUCUCAGUGGGCUGUUUUGGACAUCCCUUCUCUUUACUUGUAAGAAAUGUAACUUUUAAUUUCUUAAGCAUGCUCUUACUGCAAAUGCUCAGAGAUGAAAAUCUCACCCCCUUCGCUUAUGUUCAUGAGCUUUUAUCAGUUGGAGCAUCCCAGGUGGACCGGGAGAAAAUGCUGAUCAUUGCUACAAUAAAGGAAACUUUAAAAAAUUUUAUUGAUACAUAAUUUGUACAUGUUUAUGGGGUACAUGUGUAUUUUGAGGUAUGUGUACAAUGCAUAAUGAUCAAAUCAGGGUAAUCAGGAUAGCUAUCACCUCAAACAUUUAUGAUUUAUUUGUACUGGGAACAUUCCAAGUCUUCUAGUUAUUUUGAAAUAUGCAAUAUAUUGUUGUUAACUAUAGUCACUCUAUUGUACUAUAGACUGCUAGAACUUAU
RNAcentral lists this long non-coding RNA (1744 nucleotides) under Homo sapiens (human). Its description in RNAcentral is "HSALNT0337105". The record is from RNAcentral. Lineage: Eukaryota; Metazoa; Chordata; Mammalia; Primates; Hominidae.